UUUUGAUGUUUUACAGUAUACUCUACAUCUUAUCUUGGGAGCACCCUUUGAUUUUACAUCUUGUGACCUUCCAAACAUACGGAGAUGGUGUACCCUUAUCCUUAUGGAGAACUUUGGGGUUUUCUCUGAAAGUGCAGAAACCCUACAAGAGGCUCUUCCAAGUAGAGAACAAGCUAUGCUUUGCAGCAGUGAGG
Long non-coding RNA from Sinocyclocheilus rhinocerous, 194 nucleotides. RefSeq lists it as uncharacterized. The record is from RefSeq and is a predicted model, not a curated record. The transcript is spliced from 3 exons. NCBI's taxonomy places the organism in Eukaryota, Metazoa, Chordata, Actinopteri, Cypriniformes, Cyprinidae.